This 112-nucleotide ribosomal RNA is filed under the name Staphylococcus aureus. Lineage: Bacteria; Bacillati; Bacillota; Bacilli; Caryophanales; Staphylococcaceae. The record is from RNAcentral.
UCACUCUAUUUUUAGCUGCAGNACCUGUUCCCAUGCCGAACACAGAAGUUAAGCUCCUUAGCGUCGAUGGUAGUCGAACUUACGUUCCGCUAGAGUAGAACGUUGCCAGGCA